This 207-nucleotide ribosomal RNA is filed under the name uncultured bacterium. RNAcentral describes it as "partial 16S ribosomal RNA". It matches the Rfam family "Bacterial small subunit ribosomal RNA", at positions 568 to 774 of the family's 1533-position model. The record is from RNAcentral.
CGUGUAGGCGGCCUGAUAAGUCUGAAGUGAAAGUCCUGCUUUCAAGGUGGGAAUUGCUUUGGAGACUGUCGGGCUUGAGUGCGGAAGAGGUAAGUGGAAUUCCCAGUGUAGCGGUGAAAUGCGUAGAGAUUGGGAGGAACACCAGUGGCGAAGGCGACUUACUGGGCCGUAACUGACGCUGAGGCGCGAAAGCGUGGGGAGCGAACA